Molecule: ribosomal RNA, 251 nt
Filed under: uncultured bacterium
Lineage: Bacteria
Description: partial 16S ribosomal RNA
Rfam family: Bacterial small subunit ribosomal RNA
Source: RNAcentral
UAGAGUAACACGUGAGCAACCUACCUUUCAGUGGGGGACAACAUUUGGAAACGAAUGCUAAUACCGCAUAAGACCACAGUGUCGCAUGGCACAGGGGUCGAAGGAUUUAUCCGCUGAAAGAUGGGCUCGCGUCCGAUUAGCUAGAUGGUGAGGUAACGGCCCACCAUGGCGACGAUCGGUAGCCGGACUGAGAGGUUGAACGGCCACAUUGGGACUGAGACACGGCCCAGACUCCUACGGGAGGCAGCAUG